GAUGAACGCUGGCGGCGUGCCUAAUACAUGCAAGUCGAGCGAACGGACGAGAAGCUUGCUUCUCUGAUGUUAGCGGCGGACGGGUGAGUAACACGUGGAUAACCUACCUAUAAGACUAGGAUAACUUCGGGAAACCGGAGCUAAUACCGGAUAAUAUUUUGAACCGCAUGGUUCAAAAGUGAAAGACGGUCUUGCUGUCACUUAUAGAUGGAUCCGCGCUGCAUUAGCUAGUUGGUAAGGUAACGGCUUACCAAGGCAACGAUGCAUAGCCGACCUGAGAGGGUGAUAGGCCACACUGGAACUGAGACACGGUCCAGACGCCUACGGGAGGCAGCAGUAGGGAAUCUUCCGCAAUGGGCGAAAGCCUGACGGAGCAACGCCGCGUGAGUGAUGAAGGUCUUCGGAUCGUAAAACUCUGUUAUUAGGGAAGAACAUAUGUGUAAGUAACUGUGCACAUCGUGACGGUACCUAAUCAAAAAGCCACGGCUAACUACGUG
This 497-nucleotide ribosomal RNA is filed under the name uncultured bacterium. RNAcentral's name for it is "partial 16S ribosomal RNA". It matches the Rfam family "Bacterial small subunit ribosomal RNA", at positions 28 to 507 of the family's 1533-position model. The record is from RNAcentral.